RNAcentral lists this ribosomal RNA (1452 nucleotides) under Salmonella enterica. RNAcentral's name for it is "partial 23S ribosomal RNA". It matches the Rfam family "Bacterial large subunit ribosomal RNA", at positions 137 to 1547 of the family's 2925-position model. Lineage: Bacteria; Pseudomonadati; Pseudomonadota; Gammaproteobacteria; Enterobacterales; Enterobacteriaceae. RNAcentral also lists the same sequence under 1 other name. The record is from RNAcentral.
GAUUCGUCACACUAUCAUUAACUGAAUCCAUAGGUUAAUGAGGCGAACCGGGGGAACUGAAACAUCUAAGUACCCCGAGGAAAAGAAAUCAACCGAGAUUCCCCCAGUAGCGGCGAGCGAACGGGGAGGAGCCCAGAGCCUGAAUCAGCAUGUGUGUUAGUGGAAGCGUCUGGAAAGGCGCGCGAUACAGGGUGACAGCCCCGUACACAAAAGCGCAUGUGCUGUGAGCUCGAUGAGUAGGGCGGGACACGUGGUAUCCUGUCUGAAUAUGGGGGGACCAUCCUCCAAGGCUAAAUACUCCUGACUGACCGAUAGUGAACCAGUACCGUGAGGGAAAGGCGAAAAGAACCCCGGCGAGGGGAGUGAAAAAGAACCUGAAACCGUGUACGUACAAGCAGUGGGAGCACCCUUCGGGGUGUGACUGCGUACCUUUUGUAUAAUGGGUCAGCGACUUAUAUUCUGUAGCAAGGUUAACCGUAUAGGGGAGCCGGAGGGAAACCGAGUCUUAACCGGGCGUUAAGUUGCAGGGUAUAGACCCGAAACCCGGUGAUCUAGCCAUGGGCAGGUUGAAGGUUGGGUAACACUAACUGGAGGACCGAACCGACUAAUGUUGAAAAAUUAGCGGAUGACCUGUGGCUGGGGGUGAAAGGCCAAUCAAACCGGGAGAUAGCUGGUUCUCCCCGAAAGCUAUUUAGGUAGCGCCUCGUGAAUUCAUCUCCGGGGGUAGAGCACUGUUUCGGCUAGGGGGCCAUCCCGGCUUACCAACCCGAUGCAAACUGCGAAUACCGGAGAAUGUUAUCACGGGAGACACACGGCGGGUGCUAACGUCCGUCGUGAAGAGGGAAACAACCCAGACCGCCAGCUAAGGUCCCAAAGUCAUGGUUAAGUGGGAAACGAUGUGGGAAGGCCCAGACAGCCAGGAUGUUGGCUUAGAAGCAGCCAUCAUUUAAAGAAAGCGUAAUAGCUCACUGGUCGAGUCGGCCUGCGCGGAAGAUGUAACGGGGCUAAACCAUGCACCGAAGCUGCGGCAGCGAACGUAUCACCCAAGACAACUUUACGGAGUUGACGAUUGACGGAGCGAAGCGACGUCAAAGCGUUCAUUAAAGUCGAGUUGGCUUAGGGAUACGUUCGUUGGGUAGGGGAGCGUUCUGUAAGCCUGUGAAGGUGUGUCGUGAGGCAUGCUGGAGGUAUCAGAAGUGCGAAUGCUGACAUAAGUAACGAUAAAGCGGGUGAAAAGCCCGCUCGCCGGAAGACCAAGGGUUCCUGUCCAACGUUAAUCGGGGCAGGGUGAGUCGACCCCUAAGGCGAGGCCGAAAGGCGUAGUCGAUGGGAAACGGGUUAAUAUUCCCGUACUUGGUGUUACUGCGAAGGGGGGACGGAGAAGGCUAUGUUGGCCGGGCGACGGUUGUCCCGGUUUAAGCGUGUAGGUGUGUGUUCCAGGUAAAUCCGGUU